GGUGUCAGGGAGGGUUGGAUCGGCCCUCGCUGGCCGCCAGGUCACCACUAGGGUCCCGCCGACAGUAACUUUCUGGUUGGUGUGCAAGGGCGCUGACUUCCCCAAGGGGCUGAUGCACCUGCCUCUAAGGUUCCAUUCUUCUCCAGGGAUAUCUGGCCUGGAAUAAGCUAAGAAACUGCUUUCAAGAUCGUGUGUUAAGCAACAUGUAUCAGCAGAUGCAGUCUGUCCCACAGGAUUCACAUUACACCUUGGAGAGGAGUCAGCAAACUAACAACCCACCACCUGUUUUAGCCCACAAGCUAAAUAAUUUCUAGUUCACAUCAAAACAUCAAAGGAGAAUGAAAAGACACAAGUCACAAACCAGGAAAAGGUCAUCACUUGGUUCUGAAUGGUCCCUGGAGCUCCAGCCAUCCUAUCUGCAUUUCAAGUAGCAGGAAAGAGAAAGGGAGUAGGAAAAAACCAGUACAUUGGAUACCACUCAGACUUUUUCACUGGAUCCCACAGAGGUUCAAUAACUUGCUAUGACGUCACAACUAGAAAAAUGGUAAAGCCAAGAUUCAAGACCACAUAGUUUAAUUCCAGAGCCUAUACUGGUAAAUGCCACCUAGUAAAUGAUAUAUAUAAA
Long non-coding RNA from Suricata suricatta (meerkat), 625 nucleotides. RefSeq lists it as uncharacterized. The record is from RefSeq and is a predicted model, not a curated record. The transcript has 5 exons. Lineage: Eukaryota; Metazoa; Chordata; Mammalia; Carnivora; Herpestidae.